This 153-nucleotide ribosomal RNA is filed under the name Cryptonemia luxurians. Its description in RNAcentral is "5.8S ribosomal RNA". It matches the Rfam family "5.8S ribosomal RNA". Rfam says of the family: 5.8S ribosomal RNA (5.8S rRNA) is a component of the large subunit of the eukaryotic ribosome. It is transcribed by RNA polymerase I as part of the 45S precursor that also contains 18S and 28S rRNA. RNAcentral also lists the same sequence under 3 other names. The record is from RNAcentral. Lineage: Eukaryota; Rhodophyta; Florideophyceae; Halymeniales; Halymeniaceae.
AAACUCGUAACGGUGGAUGUCUUGGCUCCUACAUCGAUGAAGAACGCAGCAAAAUGCGAUACGUAAUGCGAAUUGCAGAACCGGGAAUCAUCAAAUUUUUGAACGCAAGUUGCGCUCGCGGGUAAUCCUGCGAGCAUAUCUGUUUGAGUGUCC